AAUCCAUAGGUUAAUGAGGCGAACCGGGGGAACUGAAACAUCUAAGUACCCCGAGGAAAAGAAAUCAACCGAGAUUCCCCCAGUAGCGGCGAGCGAACGGGGAGGAGCCCAGAGCCUGAAUCAGCAUGUGUGUUAGUGGAAGCGUCUGGAAAGGCGCGCGAUACAGGGUGACAGCCCCGUACACAAAAGCGCAUGUGCUGUGAGCUCGAUGAGUAGGGCGGGACACGUGGUAUCCUGUCUGAAUAUGGGGGGACCAUCCUCCAAGGCUAAAUACUCCUGACUGACCGAUAGUGAACCAGUACCGUGAGGGAAAGGCGAAAAGAACCCCGGCGAGGGGAGUGAAAAAGAACCUGAAACCGUGUACGUACAAGCAGUGGGAGCCCCACCACCAAAGCAUUUGCUGUACCGCGUUGACGGAGCGAAGCGACGUCAAACCGAUAAAACAG
Molecule: ribosomal RNA, 446 nt
Filed under: Salmonella enterica subsp. enterica serovar Enteritidis
Lineage: Bacteria; Pseudomonadati; Pseudomonadota; Gammaproteobacteria; Enterobacterales; Enterobacteriaceae
Description: partial 23S ribosomal RNA
Rfam family: Bacterial large subunit ribosomal RNA
Source: RNAcentral